CCUACGGGAGGCAGCAGUAGGGAAUCUUCCACAAUGGACGAAAGUCUGAUGAAGCAACGCCGCGUGAACGAUGAAGGCCUUCGGGUCGUAAAGUUCUGUUGUAAGGGAAGAACAAGUGCCGCAGGCAAUGGCGGCACCUUGACGGUACCUUGCGAGAAAGCCACGGCUAACUACGUGCCAGCAGCCGCGGUAAUACGUAGGUGGCAAGCGUUGUCCGGAAUUAUUGGGCGUAAAGCGCGCGCAGGCGGCCUCUUAAGUCUGAUGUGAAAGCCCCCGGCUCAACCGGGGAGGGCCAUUGGAAACUGGGAGGCUUGAGUAUAGGAGAGAAGAGUGGAAUUCCACGUGUAGCGGUGAAAUGCGUAGAGAUGUGGAGGAACACCAGUGGCGAAGGCGACUCUUUGGCCUAUAACUGACGCUGAGGCGCGAAAGCGUGGGGAGCAAACAGGAUUAGAUACCCUGGUAGUCCACGCCGUAAACGAUGAGUGCUAGGUGUUGGAGGGUUUCCGCCCUUCAGUGCUGAAGCUAACGCAUUAAGCACUCCGCCUGGGGAGUACGGUCGCAAGGCUGAAACUCAAAUGAAUUGACGGGG
RNAcentral lists this ribosomal RNA (589 nucleotides) under uncultured Exiguobacterium sp. Its description in RNAcentral is "bacterial SSU rRNA". It matches the Rfam family "Bacterial small subunit ribosomal RNA", at positions 338 to 918 of the family's 1533-position model. The record is from RNAcentral. Lineage: Bacteria; Bacillati; Bacillota; Bacilli; Caryophanales.